UACGAAGGGGGCUAGCGUUGCUCGGAAUCACUGGGCGUAAAGCGCACGUAGGCGGAUUGCUAAGUCAGGGGUGAAAUCCUGGAGCUCAACUCCAGAACUGCCUUUGAUACUGGCGAUCUUGAGUCCGGGAGAGGUGAGUGGAACUGCGAGUGUAGAGGUGAAAUUCGUAGAUAUUCGCAAGAACACCAGUGGCGAAGGCGGCUCACUGGCCCGAUACUGACGCUGAGGCACGAAAGCGUGGGGAGCAAACGGG
This 253-nucleotide ribosomal RNA is filed under the name uncultured bacterium. RNAcentral describes it as "partial 16S ribosomal RNA". It matches the Rfam family "Bacterial small subunit ribosomal RNA", at positions 524 to 776 of the family's 1533-position model. The record is from RNAcentral.